GACGAACGCUGGCGGCGUGCUUAACACAUGCAAGUCGAACGGAAAGGCCCUGCUUUUGUGGGGUGCUCGAGUGGCGAACGGGUGAGUAACACGUGAGUAACCUGCCCUUGACUUUGGGAUAACUUCAGGAAACUGGGGCUAAUACCGGAUAGGAGCUCCUGCUGCAUGGUGGGGGUUGGAAAGUUUCGGCGGUUGGGGAUGGACUCGCGGCUUAUCAGCUUGUUGGUGGGGUAGUGGCUUACCAAGGCUUUGACGGGUAGCCGGCCUGAGAGGGUGACCGGCCACAUUGGGACUGAGAUACGGCCCAGACUCCUACGGGAGGCAGCAGUGGGGAAUAUUGCACAAUGGGCGGAAGCCUGAUGCAGCAACGCCGCGUGCGGGAUGACGGCCUUCGGGUUGUAAACCGCUUUCGCCUGUGACGAAGCGUGAGUGACGGUAAUGGGUAAAGAAGCACCGGCUAACUACGUGCCAGCAGCCGCGGUGAUACGUAGGGUGCGAGCGUUGUCCGGAUUUAUUGGGCGUAAAGGGCUCGUAGGUGGUUGAUCGCGUCGGAGGUGUAAUCUUGGGGCUUAACCCUGAGCGUGCUUUCGAUACGGGUUGACUUGAGGAAGGUAGGGGAGAAUGGAAUUCCUGGUGGAGCGGUGGAAUGCGCAGAUAUCAGGAGGAACACCAGUGGCGAAGGCGGUUCUCUGGGCCUUUCCUGACGCUGAGGAGCGAAAGCGUGGGGAGCGAACAGGCUUAGAUACCCUGGUAGUCCACGCUGUAAACGGUGGGUACUAGGUGUGGGGUCCAUUCCACGGGUUCCGUGCCGUAGCUAACGCUUUAAGUACCCCGCCUGGGGAGUACGGCCGCAAGGCUAAAACUCAAAGGAAUUGACGGGGCCCCGCACAAGCGGCGGAGCAUGCGGAUUAAUUCGAUGCAACGCGUAGAACCUUACCUGGGUUUGACAUGGAUCGGGAGUGCUCAGAGAUGGGUGUGCCUCUUAUGGGGUCGGUUCACAGGUGGUGCAUGGCUGUCGUCAGCUCGUGUCGUGAGAUGUUGGGUUAAGUCCCGCAACGAGCGCAACCCUUGUUCACUGUUGCCAGCACGUUAUGGUGGGGACUCAGUGGAGACCGCCGGGGUCAACUCGGAGGAAGGUGGGGAUGACGUCAAGUCAUCAUGCCCCUUAUGUCCAGGGCUUCACGCAUGCUACAAUGGCUGGUACAGAGAGUGGCGAGCCUGUGAGGGUGAGCGAAUCUCGGAAAGCCGGUCUCAGUUCGGAUUGGGGUCUGCAACUCGACCUCAUGAAGUCGGAGUCGCUAGUAAUCGCAGAUCAGCAACGCUGCGGUGAAUACGUUCCCGGG
RNAcentral lists this ribosomal RNA (1343 nucleotides) under uncultured bacterium. RNAcentral's name for it is "16S ribosomal RNA". It matches the Rfam family "Bacterial small subunit ribosomal RNA", at positions 28 to 1378 of the family's 1533-position model. The record is from RNAcentral.